CCAAUAGCGUAUAUUAAAGUUGUUGCAGUUAAAAAGCUCGUAGUUGAACUUCGGGGUCUACCCAUUGGUCAGGCUUAAUUGUCUGCACUGGUGAGAUGGAUCUCUACCUUCUGAGGAACUUUCAUGCCAUUUAUUUGGUGUGAUGGGAAAUCAGGACUGUUACUUUGAAAAAAUUAGAGUGUUUAAAGCAGACUAUCGUCUGAAUACAUUAGCAUGGAAUAAUGAAAUAGGACGGACUGAUUCUAUUUCGUUGGUUUCUAGGAUCACCGUAAUGAUUAAUAGGGAUAGUUGGGGGCAUUAGUAUUCAAUUGUCAGAGGUGAAAUUCUUGGAUUUAUUGAAGACUAACUACUGCGAAAGCAUUUGCCAAGGAUGUUUUCAUUAAUCAAGAACGAAAGUUAGGGGAUCGAAGACGAUCAGAUACCGUCGUAGUCUUAACCAUAAACUAUGCCGACUAGGGAUCGGAUGAUGUUAAUUUUUUAAUGACUCAUUCGGCGCCUUACG
Molecule: non-coding RNA, 502 nt
Filed under: uncultured Glomeromycotina
Lineage: Eukaryota; Fungi; Glomeromycota
Also listed under: 1 other name
Description: partial small subunit ribosomal RNA
Rfam family: Eukaryotic small subunit ribosomal RNA
Source: RNAcentral